RNAcentral lists this ribosomal RNA (223 nucleotides) under uncultured bacterium. RNAcentral's name for it is "partial 16S ribosomal RNA". It matches the Rfam family "Bacterial small subunit ribosomal RNA", at positions 112 to 334 of the family's 1533-position model. The record is from RNAcentral.
CGGACGUGAGUAACCUGCCUUGGAGUGGGGAAUAACACAGUGAAAACUGUGCUAAUACCGCAUAAUGCAUUUGGGUCGCAUGAUUCUGAAUGCCAAAGAUUUAUCGCUCUGAGAUGGACUCGCGUCUGAUUAGCUAGUUGGCGGGGUAACGGCCCACCAAGGCGACGACCAGUAGCCGGACUGAGAGGUUGGCCGGCCACAUUGGGACUGAGACACGGCCCAG